CUGCUUCUUCGUAAGCUUAUUCAUUUUCUUUCCUUGAAACAUUCUCUUGAAAGAUGUCUGCUCAACAACAAGAAUAGGGCCCCUUGAACUUUUCAAGGUACCCUCAACAGUGACUAGUAUAUUAACCAACUCAGGUAAGUUGUAGUCCAAUUUGUUCAUAUGGUAGUUUACGAUAAACUACCCAUACGAACUAGUAAGA
This 199-nucleotide long non-coding RNA is filed under the name Elaeis guineensis (African oil palm). RNAcentral's name for it is "long non-coding RNA (EGUI_LNC048274)". Lineage: Eukaryota; Viridiplantae; Streptophyta; Magnoliopsida; Arecales; Arecaceae. The record is from RNAcentral.